AUUGAACGCUGGCGGCAUGCUUUACACAUGCAAGUCGAACGGUAACAGCACUUCGGUGGCUGACGAGUGGCGAACGGGUGAGUAAUGUAUCGGAACGUGCCCAGUAGUGGGGGAUAACUACUCGAAAGAGUGGCUAAUACCGCAUGAGAUCUCUGGAUGAAAGCGGGGGACCGUAAGGCCUCGCGCUACUGGAGCGGCCGAUAUCAGAUUAGGUUGUUGGUGGGGUAAAGGCCUACCAAGCCUGCGAUCUGUAGCUGGUCUGAGAGGACGACCAGCCACACUGGGACUGAGACACGGCCCAGACUCCUACGGGAGGCAGCAGUGGGGAAUUUUGGACAAUGGACGCAAGUCUGAUCCAGCAAUGCCGCGUGAGUGAAGAAGGCCUCGGUUGUAAGCUCUUCGUCACGGGAGAACGGUAGGGGCGUAAGUAAUCCGCUACCUAAUAGACGGUACCGUGAAGAAGAAGACACCGGCUAACUACGUAGCCAGCAGCCGACC
This 498-nucleotide ribosomal RNA is filed under the name uncultured bacterium. RNAcentral describes it as "bacterial SSU rRNA". It matches the Rfam family "Bacterial small subunit ribosomal RNA", at positions 30 to 519 of the family's 1533-position model. The record is from RNAcentral.